RNAcentral lists this ribosomal RNA (340 nucleotides) under uncultured bacterium. RNAcentral's name for it is "bacterial SSU rRNA". It matches the Rfam family "Bacterial small subunit ribosomal RNA", at positions 29 to 353 of the family's 1533-position model. The record is from RNAcentral.
AACGAACGCUGGCGGCGUGCCUAACACAUGCAAGUCGUGCGAGAAAGUUCCUUCGGGAGCGAGUAAAGCGGCGCACGGGUGAGUAACACGUAGGUAACCUGCCCCCCAGUCUGGAACAACUAGAGGAAACUCUAGCUAAUGCCGGAUGAGACCACGAUCCCUUCGGGGGUUGCGGCCAAAGAUGGCCUCUACUUGUAAGCUAUCGCUGAGGGAUGGGCCUGCGGGCCAUUAGCUUGUUGGUGAGGUAACGGCUCACCAAGGCUGUGAUGGCUAGCUGGUCUGAGAGGAUGACCAGCCACACUGGGACUGAGCACGGCCCAGACUCCUACGGGAGGCAGCA